AUUCGGUUAUAUUUUAUUUUUAAUAUAUUCAACAAUGAAAAAACAAAAUAAAAUUCAACAAUCAAACAGAUUGCACACAGUUUACGUGGACAUUACCAAACAAUGCCAUUUCAAUCCUUGCAUUGACCAUGUAAAUUACGAGUGGAAGCCCCUCCCAAUGUUAACCAAUCUGAAGAUAACUAUUUUUUACUUUUUGCUUGGUAUGUAUAAAAUGAUAAAAAGGUUGUACUGUGAACAUCCCAUUAAGAAAUUGUAAAUUAGUCAUUCUUUUUUAAAUGUGUAUAAAAGGGUUUAUAGAAAUCAGUCGAGUGGGAGAAUUGAUCACAAAUUCAUAUUCCCUCUGCAAUUUCGUUAAAAUACAAUUUUUGUUUCACAUAAAAUCCAAACAACUAUUUGGAGAAAAAAAGAUUGGGCACUAUAACCUAUGUAAGAAAGUAAUCUUAUGUCAGAAAAGGUUUACAUUGAGCUAUUAAACUAGACUAAACAGUUUUCCCACCGAUAUUUUCUGACCUAGGUCAAUGACCUAUCAUAUCAACUAUAAUUAAAUGUCUAAAAAGAAAUGGGUCUAGAUAACCUCUGAUGACCAGCAAUCUAAUACAUCUUUAGUAUGAGUAUAAUUGUCUUUAUAGUUACAGAAAACAAGGAGACUAUACAUAAUCAUCGUAUUAUUCAUUUUAUAAAUCUCCUCUCAUAUUUAUUGAUAAUUGUUGCCUAAUCCAAACUAAUUGGAAGAAAUGACAAACGAAAAAUCACAUUGUGUUUAUUUUUUAUUAAAAUGUAUUUGUGGUCUUUAUAAUUCCCUCUUGAAUGAUAUAUAUCGGUAGCUAUCUUAUUCUCUUAAGAUUGUGGUCUGUAUCUUAUUUUUGUAUCACUCUUGUAUCACUCUUGUAUCACUUGGUGUUAUAUGAAAAAUGCAUUAAUAGAUUUGCCUACCCUUCAUAGGUUAAAAAAAAAUCAACAAUUCAAAUUUGGGAGAUUUAUGAUUUCUUCCAAAAAAUAAUAAACACUUCAUGUUUCAAUUAAAUUAGUCUUUUUUUUCAAAUACAAAUCCAAUCCAAAGCUUGACAAAGUCUGAUGUUCAACAACAGAAAAUUCAAAAUGUUUAGAUGCAAAAUUUUUGAGGAA
RNAcentral lists this long non-coding RNA (1125 nucleotides) under Mytilus galloprovincialis (Mediterranean mussel). The record is from RNAcentral. Lineage: Eukaryota; Metazoa; Mollusca; Bivalvia; Mytilida; Mytilidae.